This 214-nucleotide long non-coding RNA is filed under the name Vitis vinifera (wine grape). RNAcentral describes it as "long non-coding RNA (VVIN_LNC000133)". Lineage: Eukaryota; Viridiplantae; Streptophyta; Magnoliopsida; Vitales; Vitaceae. The record is from RNAcentral.
GGGUCAACAUGUGGGCUAUCAUUGUCACCUUCCCUGCCUCAUCUUCACCUCACCUCACCUCACCUAAAUCAUGCUGUAUGCAUAUAUGCUAGAGACAAAGGCGAAAUCCUCAUCGAAACUAUUGAUUUUGGGUAAAACACUGAUCAAGUUAGAUAUAAGUUUCUCAAAUGAAGCACCAACGUUGUGAUCUUCUCAUAGAUUUUCAAAAUCCUGG